This 443-nucleotide ribosomal RNA is filed under the name uncultured bacterium. RNAcentral describes it as "bacterial SSU rRNA". It matches the Rfam family "Bacterial small subunit ribosomal RNA", at positions 958 to 1398 of the family's 1533-position model. The record is from RNAcentral.
AACGCGAAGAACCUUACCUGGGCUCGAACGGCUUCGGACGGCUUUUGGAAACAGAGGCUUCCCCGCAAGGGGCCGGAGUCGAGGUGCUGCAUGGCUGUCGUCAGCUCGUGUCGUGAGAUGUUGGGUUAAGUCCCGCAACGAGCGCAACCCUUGUCCUGUGUUGCCACUCCGCAAGGAGGCACUCUCAGGAGACCGCCAGCGAUAAGCUGGAGGAAGGUGGGGAUGACGUCAAGUCAUCAUGGCCUUUAUGUCCAGGGCUACACACGUGCUACAAUGGGCGGUACAAAGCGCUGCCAACCCGCGAGGGGGAGCUAAUCGCAAAAAACCGUUCUCAGUUCGGAUUGCAGGCUGCAACCCGCCUGCAUGAAGCUGGAAUCGCUAGUAAUGGCGUAUCAGAACGACGCCGUGAAUACGUUCCCGGGCCUUGUACACACCGAGACGAC